RNAcentral lists this ribosomal RNA (252 nucleotides) under uncultured bacterium. RNAcentral's name for it is "partial 16S ribosomal RNA". It matches the Rfam family "Bacterial small subunit ribosomal RNA", at positions 525 to 776 of the family's 1533-position model. The record is from RNAcentral.
ACGAACCGUACAAACGUUACUCGGAAUUACUGGGCUUAAAGGGUGCGUAGGCUGCGCGGAAAGUUGGGUGUGAAAUCCCUCGGCUCAACCGGGGAAUUGCAUCCAAAACUGCCGUGCUCGAGGGAGACAGAGGUAAGCGGAACUCAAGGUGGAGCGGUGAAAUGCGUUGAUAUCUUGAGGAACACCGGUGGCGAAGGCGGCUUACUGGGUCUCUUCUGACGCUGAGGCACGAAAGCUAAGGUAGCAAACGGG